RNAcentral lists this small nuclear RNA (107 nucleotides) under Paramormyrops kingsleyae. The record is from RNAcentral. Lineage: Eukaryota; Metazoa; Chordata; Actinopteri; Osteoglossiformes; Mormyridae.
GUGCUUAUUAUGGCAGCACAUACACUAAAACCGGAACGACACAGAGAAGGCCAGCAUGGCCUCAGUGCAAGGAAAAUUUGGGGGACAGCGAGCGGCUUGGUGGACUA